GAUGAACGCUGACAGAAUGCUUAACACAUGCAAGUCGAUGGGGAAGUGGUGCUUGCACCAUGGCAACCAUGGCGGACGGGUGAGUAACGCGUAAGGGACUUACCUGCAGGACUGGGAUAACAGGGGGAAACUCCUGACAAGACCGGAUAAUGUCAUGGAGCUGCAUGGCUUUAUGAUGAAAGGAGACGCCUGCGGAGAGCCUUGCGUCCUAUUAGCUAGUUGGUGAGGUAAUGGCUCACCAAGGCGAAGAUAGGUAGCCGGCCUGAGAGGGUGGACGGCCACAAGGGGACUGAGAUACGGCCCUUACUCCUACGGGAGGCAGCAGUGGGGAAUAUUGGACAAUGGGGGCAACCCUGAUCCAGCACUUCUGUGUGCACGAAGAAGGUUUUCGGUUUGUAAAGUGCUUUCAGCAGGGAAGAAGUAAGUGACGGUACCUGCAGAAGAAGCGACGGCUAAAUACGUG
Molecule: ribosomal RNA, 463 nt
Filed under: uncultured bacterium
Lineage: Bacteria
Description: partial 16S ribosomal RNA
Rfam family: Bacterial small subunit ribosomal RNA
Source: RNAcentral